Long non-coding RNA from Gordionus sp. m RMFG-2023, 241 nucleotides. RefSeq lists it as uncharacterized. The transcript is spliced from 3 exons. Lineage: Eukaryota; Metazoa; Nematomorpha; Gordioida; Chordodea; Parachordodidae. The record is from RefSeq and is a predicted model, not a curated record.
AUCUAAAAAAUAGAUUAAAAUAACUCAAAUCUAAUAUAAAAUUAUAAAAUAUUCUAAAAUCUAUAGAUACUGCUACAACCUCAUAUCUAUACCAUCAUGCUACCCCAGCCUUACAGGAGAAAGUAUCUGCAAUUAUACAAAAUAUUGACAUGAUUUUGGAAAGAGACAAACAAUAAAAAGAUGAUGAAAAUAAAGAGAACAUGGAGAGCAAAAUAUGCAAUGUAAUGAAUGAAAAAAUAUG